RNAcentral lists this ribosomal RNA (484 nucleotides) under uncultured bacterium. RNAcentral's name for it is "partial 16S ribosomal RNA". It matches the Rfam family "Bacterial small subunit ribosomal RNA", at positions 28 to 507 of the family's 1533-position model. The record is from RNAcentral.
AUUGAACGCUGGCGGCAUGCUUUACACAUGCAAGUCGAACGGCAGCGCGGGCUUCGGCCUGGCGGCGAGUGGCGAACGGGUGAGUAAUGCAUCGGAACGUGCCCAGUAGUGGGGGAUAGCCCGGCGAAAGCCGGAUUAAUACCGCAUACGACCUGAGGGUGCAAGCGGGGGACCGAAAGGCCUCGCGCUCUUGGAGCGGCCGAUGUCGGAUUAGCUAGUUGGUGGGGUAAAGGCUUACCAAGGCGACGAUCCGUAGCUGGUCUGAGAGGACGACCAGCCACACUGGGACUGAGACACGGCCCAGACUCCUACGGGAGGCAGCAGUGGGGAAUUUUGGACAAUGGGGGCAACCCUGAUCCAGCCAUGCCGCGUGCGGGAAGAAGGCCUUCGGGUUGUAAACCGCUUUUGUUCGGGAAGAAAUCCUCUGGGCUAAUACCCCGGGGGGAUGACGGUACCGGAAGAAUAAGCACCGGCUAACUACGUG